Molecule: ribosomal RNA, 442 nt
Filed under: uncultured bacterium
Lineage: Bacteria
Description: partial 16S ribosomal RNA
Rfam family: Bacterial small subunit ribosomal RNA
Source: RNAcentral
UGGGGAAUAUUGGACAAUGGGGCAACCCUGGAUCCAGCCAUGCCGCGUGAGUGAUGAAGGCCCUAGGGUUGUAAACGCUCUUUUGUGCGGGAAGAUUAAUGACGGUACCGCAAGAAUAAGCCCCGGCUAACCUUCGUGCCAGCAGCCGCGGUAAUACGAAGGGGGCUAGCGUUGCUCGGAAUCACUGGGCGUAAAGGGUGCGUAGGCGGGUUUCUAAGUCAGAGGUGAAAGCCUGGAGCUCAACUCCAGAACUGCCUUUGAUACUGGAAGUCUUGAGUAUGGCAGAGGUGAGUGGAACUGCGAGUGUAGAGGUGAAAUUCGUAGAUAUUCGCAAGAACACCAGCGGUGAAGGCGGCUCACUGGGCCAUUACUGACGCUGAGGCACGAAAGCGUGGGGAGCAAACAGGAUUAGAUACCCUGGUAGUCCACGCCGUAAACGAUG